GAUUAACGCUAGCGGCAGGCAUAAUACAUGCAAGUUGAACGAGAUAAGUUGUAGCAAUACGGCUUUGAAAGUGGCGCACGGGUGCGUAACACGUAUGCAACCUACCUUUUACUGGGGAAUAGCCUCUCGAAAGAGAGAUUAAUACCCCAUGAUAUGUUCCGAAGGCAUCUUUGGGAUCUUAAAGCUGAGGCGGUAAAAGAUGGGCAUGCGGUUGAUUAGCUAGUUGGUGAGGGAAUGGCUCACCAAGGCUUCGAUCAAUAGGGGGUCUGAGAGGAUGUCCCCCCACACUGGUACUGAGACACGGACCAGACUCCUACGGGAGGCAGCAGUAGGGAAUAUUGGACAAUGGGCGCAAGCCUGAUCCAGCCAUGCCGCGUGCAGGAUGAAGGCCCUAUGGGUCGUAAACUUCUUUUAUAUGGGACGAAAACUCUUAUUCUUAGGAGACUGACGGUACCAUAGGAAUAAGCACCGGCUAACUCCGUGCCAGCCGCCGCAGUAA
RNAcentral lists this ribosomal RNA (499 nucleotides) under uncultured bacterium. Its description in RNAcentral is "partial 16S ribosomal RNA". It matches the Rfam family "Bacterial small subunit ribosomal RNA", at positions 28 to 523 of the family's 1533-position model. The record is from RNAcentral.